This is a long non-coding RNA of Solea senegalensis (Senegalese sole), 603 nucleotides long. RefSeq lists it as uncharacterized. NCBI's taxonomy places the organism in Eukaryota, Metazoa, Chordata, Actinopteri, Pleuronectiformes, Soleidae. The transcript has 3 exons. The record is from RefSeq and is a predicted model, not a curated record.
AGGUGCUGGAGGAAAUAAAAAUAUUCACAUUAUUGUACAGCUGCAAAAAAACAUGAAUUGGCAAUGUCAGUCAAAUACAAACUGCUGUUGCUACUGUGAUGAUUUUGCAGUCCAUGUGGGCAGGCCACAUGCACUGCAGCAAUAAUCAGAGGGGGAAGCAUAAUGGAAACUACUGCAGUGAACGUUGAGCUGACGACAAACUAAACUCACCGGAGGAGUUUGGUCUUCUUUCAAAGUCACAACUUUGACAUUUCCAGUAGGACUGUAGUUGGUGUUUGUUUAUUAUACAGGUGUACCCCUUGUUCCGUUUACACUACACAAGAGAGACCCUCACCCACUGUUGAAAAGUAAGAUUUCAAUUGAGCUUCGUUGUAGUUUCACUUUACUUUACUUUAUUUUUUCCACCUCUGGCAAUUACUACUUCUCCUGCUGUCAAACUACUGCGUUUAAGGUGGUUUGGCAAAAAUACCUUGGCAGCUUUGUUGACCUUAUCUUCAUUGUCCCGCUUAUGGACAAACACAGAAGCGCGCUUUCCAUCCUGGAGCACCGCCGUGUACAUGGUGAGUCCAAAGGGCAGGGUGAGGAGCGGCUCCCCCAGGGUGC